GGGGUUGUAGCUCAGUGGUAGAGCGUCUCGUUUGCAUUAAAACGAGCAGCAAAGUUUCGAGAAGGUCUGGGGUUCAAUCCCCCACGUCUCCA
Molecule: non-coding RNA, 92 nt
Organism: Ustilago trichophora
Lineage: Eukaryota; Fungi; Basidiomycota; Ustilaginomycetes; Ustilaginales; Ustilaginaceae
Source: the annotation of a GenBank genome assembly